UACGGGGGGGGCAAGCGUUGUUCGGAAUUACUGGGCGUAAAGGGCUCGUAGGUGGCCAACUCAGUCGGACGUGAAAUCCCUCGGCUUAACCGGGGAACUGCGUCCGAUACUGGAUGGCUUGAGAUCGGGAGAGGGAUGCGGAAUUCCAGGUGUAGCGGUGAAAUGCGCAGAUAUCAGGAAGAACACCAAUGGCGAAGGCAGCUCUCUGGGACGGUACUGACGCUGAGACGCGAAAGCGUGGGGAGCGAACAGG
This 253-nucleotide ribosomal RNA is filed under the name uncultured bacterium. RNAcentral's name for it is "partial 16S ribosomal RNA". It matches the Rfam family "Bacterial small subunit ribosomal RNA", at positions 524 to 776 of the family's 1533-position model. The record is from RNAcentral.